Molecule: ribosomal RNA, 977 nt
Filed under: groundwater metagenome
Description: bacterial SSU rRNA
Rfam family: Bacterial small subunit ribosomal RNA
Source: RNAcentral
AGAGUUUGAUCCUGGCUCAGGACGAACGCUGGCGGCGUGCUUAAUACAUGCAAGUCGAACGGUUCAGUCGUCUGUCGUCAGACGUCGGACGUCGGGGUGAAAGCAAUGAUUCCGGGUUAAAACCCGAGGAGAAACGCAUAAAUCCUGACGACUGUUGCCUGACGACCGACGACUGAAUAGUGGCGGACGGGUGAGUAACACGUGAGCAACCUGCCUUGUACGGGAGGACAACAGUUGGAAACGGCUGCUAAUACUCCAUAAAACCGAGCCAGCACAUGCUGGAACGGUCAAAGGUUUUUAACCGGUACAAGAUGGGCUCGCGUCCCAUUAGCUAGUUGGCGGGAUAACAGCCCACCAAGGCGACGAUGGGUAGCCGGCCUGAGAGGGUGAACGGCCACACUGGGACUGAGACACGGCCCAGACUCCUACGGGAGGCAGCAGUCGGGAAUAUUGGGCAAUGGACGAAAGUCUGACCCAGCAAUGCCGCGUGAGUGAUGAAGGUCUUCGGAUCGUAAAGCUCUGUCUUUGGGGACGAAGAAAGUGACGGUACCCAAGGAGGAAGCCCCGGCUAACUACGUGCCAGCAGCCGCGGUAAUACGUAGGGGGCGAGCGUUGUCCGGAAUUACUGGGCGUAAAGGGCGAGUAGGCGGUUUAAUAAGUCAGAUGUGAAAUGCCAGGGCUCAACCCUGGAACUGCAUUUGAAACUAUUAGACUUGAGUGCAGGAGAGGAAAGUGGAAUUCCCAGUGUAGCGGUGAAAUGCGUAGAUAUUGGGAGGAACACCAGUGGCGAAGGCGACUUUCUGGACUGUAACUGACGCUGAGGUGCGAAAGCCAGGGGAGCAAACGGGAUUAGAUACCCCGGUAGUCCUGGCCGUAAACGAUGGGUACUAGGUGUAGGAGGUAUCGACCCCUUCUGUGCCGCAGUUAACACAAUAAGUACCCCGCCUGGGGAGUACGGCCGCAAGGCUGAAACUCAA